AUCCUGGCUCAGGAUGAACGCUGGCGGCGUGCCUAAUACAUGCAAGUCGAGCGAACAGACGAGGAGCUUGCUCCUUUGACGUUAGCGGCGGACGGGUGAGUAACACGUAGGUAACCUACCUAUAAGACUGGGAUAACUUCGGGAAACCGGAGCUAAUACCGGAUAAUAUUUCGAACCGCAUGGUUCGAUAGUGAAAGAUGGCUUUGCUAUCACUUAUAGAUGGACCUGCGCCGUAUUAGCUAGUUGGUAAGGUAACGGCUUACCAAGGCAACGAUACGUAGCCGACCUGAGAGGGUGAUCGGCCACACUGGAACUGAGACACGGUCCAGACUCCUACGGGAGGCAGCAGUAGGGAAUCUUCCGCAAUGGGCGAAAGCCUGACGGAGCAACGCCGCGUGAGUGAUGAAGGUCUUCGGAUCGUAAAACUCUGUUAUUAGGGAAGAACAAACGUGUAAGUAACUGUGCACGUCUUGACGGUACCUAAUCAGAAAGCCACGGCUAACUACGUGCCAGCAGCCGCGGUAAUACGUAGGUGGCAAGCGUUAUCCGGAAUUAUUGGGCGUAAA
Molecule: ribosomal RNA, 566 nt
Filed under: Staphylococcus hominis
Lineage: Bacteria; Bacillati; Bacillota; Bacilli; Caryophanales; Staphylococcaceae
Description: bacterial SSU rRNA
Rfam family: Bacterial small subunit ribosomal RNA
Source: RNAcentral